GCAGAGGGAGAGUGAGAGAGGUUUUUGAGAGAUGACUAAGGAAGCUGAAUGGCUCCUAAGGAUAGAGCUACUUAUGAGUCUGCCAAAGGUCAUGGCCUCGCCUUCAUCCUGCAUCCACAGUUCCUACCAUGGAGCCCCCCUCCAGCGACUACUCGUAUAAUUAGAUCUGCAAGUGCCUCAAUGGUCAUUAAGCAGACAAACUCCAACAGCCAGACGGCCACGCCCUCCACCCCUGGGUCCAGUCAUCUACUCCAGCCUAGAAGACAAGGACUAAGGAGAAGCAGCCCAGCCAGACCUGACAGACAGGAUGUCUUCACUGGUGGGAAUACUCUACUUCUCCCUUCAGGACGCACUGUGCCUGGAGGAACCUGGCCGAGGAACACUGGACCCAUCUAUGGGCCUGUCCAAGAUUCUGAAGACAUUUUCUCCAGAAAUGUGAAAAUAUAAAGAAACUGCAAAACAAUGGCUGCACUGAAAGGUAAUAACUUCGUCCUCCAUUCUUAGAGAAAAAGGGGAAAACACAGAGAAUUACAGUAAAAAUCAACACUGGAUUCCUUCUAAUUCCCUUAGGUUUGAAGAAUGCAGGGAAGACAUUUCCUGUGAUGGUAAUUAUAUACCUGAGAUUUUUCAAGUGAUUGUGGAUUGAAGUUAAUUACCAUGGAAAUAAUAUUGUUGACAGUAGAUGAACUGUAUACAUGACUGUAGAAGAGGUUAUGGCACAAGAAGUUUUCUACAUUUUGGUUAUCUUUGAUUAAAACAAAGAGGCUUAUUUUUCCAUAUAUUAUCUCACACAUUGGUUGUUCUGACCUUUGAAAAUUCAUUUCAGUGAAACAGAUGGCUGCAUCUUAAUAAAAGUACAUGUCCGUAAUUGACAUUUUCAAGGACGUUUCUUUGUCCAUCCUUCCCAAAUUCUGCUCAUCUGAGAUGUCUCAAUAUUUGGAGGUAAUUUUUUCUUAUGAUUGUAUUUUUUAAAGGCAAUGCUUUUGAAGAAACGAUAUUUUCAACACAUCCCACUUUCUGAAUUUAGUCUGCUGCCUAAAAAUGCUAUCAGAAUGAGGUAUCACUGUGGUAGGCUCCCCUUAUCUGCCACCCUGCCCCUCCUUCAGGGGAGAGAGCACCUCUGAAGACCGCGGGAGAUGGGAGUGUCUGGCUGAGGAGCACAAGAGCAGAAAUGCUGGGAAAGGAGAAGGGCGACUCCUGCGAGGAGCUUGGGGAGGCUCCGUCUGAAUGCUGGAAGAAACAGUUCCCAGCCUAAGACCCUCCCUCUGUGGCGAGAAGCGGCUGUGCCCCAGCCUGGGACGGUGGCUUGGGUCCUGCUCUGUCCACACCCACCUCCCCAAAAGGCCACGGCCCCGGAGGGACCAUGGCCAGGCAGGCACGCACACCACGAAGGCGGAGAUGCCCUCUGUGCUGAGCGGGGCCUCUAACCGUGCCAGGAGGAAGCGCUGAGCCAGGGUGGGUGCCUCUCUCUCCUACAGUGUUCUGAGAAGAGCUGGGUGGGGUGAGGGGCAGGUGGGGCAGGUGAGGAGGGCCAAGCUCCUGGUUCCUGCUGCUGCUGCACAUACCCUGCUGGGGGUCUCCCCAAGUGUGGUGAAGCAGCUGGGAAAACACCUUUCCUAUUACGGCGGGAUUCCACCUUCGGUCUUUGCCUAUGGGCAUCGUUACACAGGUCCCAAGGAGGAAUGAAUCAUGUUAAUUUCAUUUGCAGGGGGACCUUUUUUAUAUAUAACAGGUGAAUCUCUGAGAAAAAAAAAAGAUGAAUGGAAAUUUGGUUUGAGAACAGCAAAUCCUAUCUUAAAAUUCUGCAGGAUUCCUCUGUGUGUGGGUAGGUGAAGAGGAAGGAAGGAAAGCAAAACCAGGUGAAAUGAAAUGUUUGGGUCCUAGACAUGGUCACCCCUGGCAGUCUAGCAAAAUCUUGCGGCUCCUACCUAUUGGUAAACAGUUACCGUUCGUGCAAUAUUUCCUGCUGAGGCUGGAAAGGCAGCGCAAAAUCCGAUUCCACAGGACCUUGUUCACUAGGAGGGGAUUUUGGACUUUAUCCAAGACCAAUGAGAAGUAACUGAAGUUUUUUUUCUUUUUCCUUUUUUUUUUUCCAGUAAGGGAGCUCAAUAAAGAUUUGUGGAAUGCGUGAAUAAGAGACUACUGGACCAGAAUAGAGGAUCAAUGGCUUUUUCUGGCUCCAAACUGGCUGCCAGGAACUAUAUUCUCAUUAAUUUUAGCUUUUUGGUUAGUUAAGGGCAAGGGGGAUUUUAGUUAAGAAAUACUUCUGCCAGUAGAAGUGAUUUCUGGUUAAAACAACAUCACACCUAGGGAUCAAAUGUGGGGGAGAGGUGAUUACAGAGCAAAGAUAUUUGCAUUUAUUCUCAAAAUGUAGAUGGGCAGAAAGAAAUGUAUGAAGGCAUUAAUUAGAUGAGUAAUUAUGCUAUAGAGUAAUAUUCAUAAUCAAAACUAAUUGGCCACAUAGGUAACUUUGCAUAAACUAGGCCAAAGGGUGGUAUUAAACCCACUCAAAAACUAUUCCAGGAACAAAAGCAUAAAUAUAAGGUUGUAUAGAUGCAUUAAUGACAUUUAAUGAGGCUAGCAGCCAUCCAUUAAAUAUAUCUGAGAACGGAUACAGGGAACUAAUUGACCAUGGAUGAACACUAAUUGGCAUAUUACUAGUAUUAAUACAUAAAAUAUCCAUAAUAAUUAUAGAGAGAACAGUUAGAUAAGCAGAUUGAAUUCACACUUAGAUCCAAACAGCUGUUUGAAACGUACACCUGACAUGUCCCGAUGCCUCAUGAAGCUCUUUGACGGCGCACACAGACUCCCAGAGGUAUCUUCCUCAUGCCGAGGUGGCGCUGUUCCCUGUAUUUGAUGUUUAAGUGGGAAUGAUUUUUCUUUUUUUCUUGGGAAUGGUUUUUCUUACUCUCCUAAACUAAGAGCUAUCUUCAAGUCACUCUUCCAGUAAAAUCAAUAAGACCAGCUAGUUCUAGUUACCAGUGCAUCUCAAAACCAGUCCACCUCUCUCCAUCUAUCACUAUCGUGAUCCAGUUUUCCUCCUUCCCUCCCUCCUUCCUUUUUUUUUCUUUUUCCAUUCUUCCUAUUUGAUUUUUCUUUUUUUCUAUUUUUUAUUUUUUUGGUGAUCCAGUUAAAAGGUAUAUCUGAACACUCUGGAUGAAAGAUAUGCUUUAUUAAUAUGUAUUAAUAGAAAAUGAAAAAAAAAAAAAAAAGGUAGAUCUGAAGUCUACCUAAAACACCAGAGUGGCUUUCCACUGCCUAGGACCACAUCCUGGCAACCUGAGCUGACACCCAAGACUCUGGGAUCAGCGUCUUCCCCCCCUCCAUCUUCUCCCACUGUAUCUCCAUCAGCAACACCGAAGUGCUGGUAGUUUCUUAUACUUAACACCAAUUCCAGGGGUUCUUUGCAUCUGUCCCCUCUCCUCCUGCCUCCUUUCACCAGCCGCUCUCUACUACACCUUUACAAUUCAGAUCAGCCAAGAUGCUUCUCUAACUCCCCAGGCCCCUUUCAGGGAAGGUUACGUAGUCCCUUCUAUCUACUUCCAUAAUGCCCCAUUCGUUCUUUAUCAGUACACUGCCACCACAUUGUAAAAUUUUCAGUGAGUGUAUUAGUUUAUGCCACUGAAGUACAAGCUCCGUUUAGGCCGAGAUCAUGCUCUGUUUAUUUUUGUAUUGCCAGCAAAGAACAAUGGGCCUUGCAAAUGGCAUGUGCCCAAAAAAUGUUUGCUGAAGGAAAGAACAAUCUAACAAAUCUUACCAUACUGAAAGAUAGUGGGAAGCGGAUGUGGCUCAAGCGAUUCGGCUCCCAUCUACCAUAUGGGAGGUUCAGGGUUUGAUAACCAGGGCCUCCUGGUGCAGUCAAGUUGACCCAUGUGGCGAGCUGGCCCAAGCGGAGAGGUAGCCUGCGCAGAGUGCUGCCACACGCAGGAGUGCUGGCCCACCCUGAGAACUGGCACAGCAAGACGGCACAACAAAAAGAGACACAGGAGAGACAGUAAGAGACACAGCAGACCAGGGUGCUGAGGUGGCACAAGAGAAUAAGCACCUCUCUUCUACUCUGGAAGGUCCCAGGAUCAGUUCCCAG
Molecule: long non-coding RNA, 4084 nt
Organism: Dasypus novemcinctus (nine-banded armadillo)
Lineage: Eukaryota; Metazoa; Chordata; Mammalia; Cingulata; Dasypodidae
Source: Ensembl